GAUGAACGCUAGCUACAGGCCUAACACAUGCAAGUCGAGGGGCAUCGGGAAGAAAGCUUGCUUUCUUUGCCGGCGACCGGCGCACGGGUGAGUAACACGUAUCCAACCUGCCCUUUACUCGGGGAUAGCCUUUCGAAAGAAAGAUUAAUACCCGAUAGCAUAAUGAUUCCGCAUGGUUUCAUUAUUAAAGGAUUCCGGUAAAGGAUGGGGAUGCGUUCCAUUAGGUUGUUGGUGGGGUAACGGCCCACCAAGCCUUCGAUGGAUAGGGGUUCUGAGAGGAAGGUCCCCCACAUUGGAACUGAGACACGGUCCAAACUCCUACGGGAGGCAGCAGUGAGGAAUAUUGGUCAAUGGGCGCUAGCCUGAACCAGCCAAGUAGCGUGAAGGAUGAAGGCUCUAUGGGUCGUAAACUUCUUUUAUAUAAGAAUAAAGUGCAGUAUGUAUACUGUUUUGUAUGUAUUAUAUGAAUAAGGAUCGGCUAACUCCGUGCCAGCAGCCGCGGUAAUACGGAGGAUCCGAGCGUUAUCCGGAUUUAUUGGGUUUAAAGGGAGCGUAGGUGGACUGGUAAGUCAGUUGUGAAAGUUUGCGGCUCAACCGUAAAAUUGCAGUUGAUACUGUCAGUCUUGAGUACAGUAGAGGUGGGCGGAAUUCGUGGUGUAGCGGUGAAAUGCUUAGAUAUCACGAAGAACUCCGAUUGCGAAGGCAGCUCACUGGACUGCAACUGACACUGAUGCUCGAAAGUGUGGGUAUCAAACAGG
RNAcentral lists this ribosomal RNA (758 nucleotides) under uncultured bacterium. RNAcentral describes it as "bacterial SSU rRNA". It matches the Rfam family "Bacterial small subunit ribosomal RNA", at positions 28 to 776 of the family's 1533-position model. The record is from RNAcentral.